CGUUGGCGAUGGCGGCCUCGGGUCCUGGCAGGGCGCUCGACUGGAUCACGACGUCAGCGGGGUUCUUGGACUCGGUUCCCUGCUCGUUGGUGACGAUCUCGGCGCGGUACCCGUUCUCGUCGGCCGUGUAGCUGACCGUGCGGGUGCGGCCGUCGGCCAGGGUCAUGGUGUAGCGUCCCGUGACGCGUCCGGAGCCGUCGCCGCUCUCUUCGCGCGUGUGCGAGCCCUCGGCGUCCUGGCUGGCGUAGUUGAAUGAGUACGGGAUCGGA
Molecule: long non-coding RNA, 269 nt
Organism: Rhipicephalus sanguineus (brown dog tick)
Lineage: Eukaryota; Metazoa; Arthropoda; Arachnida; Ixodida; Ixodidae
Exons: 2
Source: RefSeq, a predicted model, not a curated record